RNAcentral lists this ribosomal RNA (481 nucleotides) under uncultured bacterium. RNAcentral's name for it is "bacterial SSU rRNA". It matches the Rfam family "Bacterial small subunit ribosomal RNA", at positions 28 to 507 of the family's 1533-position model. The record is from RNAcentral.
GAUGAACGCUGGCGGCGUUGCUUUAACACAUGCAAGUCGAACGAAGCACUUAUGAUUGAGAUUUCGGUUGAUUGAUUAAGUGACUUAGUGGCGACGGGUGAGUAACGCGUGGGUAACCUGCCUUGUACAGGGGGAUAACAGUUAGAAAUGACUGCUAAUACCGCAUAACCCGCUAAGGUCGCAUGACCUAGACGGAAAAGAUUUAUCGGGUACAAGAUGGACCCGCGUCUGAUUAGCUAGUUGGUGAGGUAACGGCCCCACCAAGGCGACGAUCAGUAGCCGGCCUGAGAGGGUGACCGGCACAUUGGGACUGAGACACGGCCCAAACUCCUACGGGAGGCAGCAGUGGGGAAUAUUGCACAAUGGGGGAAACCCUGAUGCAGCAACGCCGCGUGAGUGAAGAAGUAUUUCGGUAUGUAAAGCUCUAUCAGCAGGGAAGAAAAUGACGGUACCUGACUAAGAAGCCCCGGCUAACUACGUG